AGACAAAAAAAUGCCCGAUACUAUUACUAGUUCGGGCUUAGGGAAAUGGCUCUGUUAGAGCCGUGCGCUAACUAUAAAACUCCUUCCUUGAAGUGAAAUUCAUGAAACUUGAUUUUUAAUAAU
Paraglaciecola psychrophila 170 is the source of this 123-nucleotide small RNA. NCBI's taxonomy places the organism in Bacteria, Pseudomonadati, Pseudomonadota, Gammaproteobacteria, Alteromonadales, Alteromonadaceae. The record is from Rfam.